CGCGGCCUAUCAGCUUGUUGGUGGGGUGAUGGCCUACCAAGGCAGUGACGGGUAGCCGGCCUGAGAGGGCGACCGGCCACACUGGGACUGAGACACGGCCCAGACUCCUACGGGAGGCAGCAGUGGGGAAUAUUGCGCAAUGGGCGGAAGCCUGACGCAGCGACGCCGCGUGAGGGAUGACGGUCUUCGGAUUGUAAACCUCUUUCACCCACGACGAAGCGAAGGUGACGGUAGUGGGAGAAGAAGCACCGGCCAACUACGUGCCAGCAGCCGCGGUAAUACGUAGGGUGCAAGCGUUGUCCGGAAUUAUUGGGCGUAAAGAGCUCGUAGGCGGCUUGUCACGUCGACUGUGAAAACCCGGGGCUCAACUCCGGGCCUGCAGUCGAUACGGGCUGGCUUGAGUGCGGUAGGGGAGACUGGAAUUCCUGGUGUAGCGGUGAAAUGCGCAGAUAUCAGGAGGAACACCGGUGGCGAAGGCGGGUCUCUGGGCCGUAACUGACGCUGAGGAGCGAAAGCGUGGGGAGCGAACAGGAUUAGAUACCCUGGUAGUCCACGCCGUAAACGUUGGGCGCUAGGUGUGGGGACCUAUCCACGGUCUCCGUGCCGCAGCUAACGCAUUAAGCGCCCCGCCUGGGGAGUACGG
This 643-nucleotide ribosomal RNA is filed under the name uncultured bacterium. RNAcentral describes it as "bacterial SSU rRNA". It matches the Rfam family "Bacterial small subunit ribosomal RNA", at positions 232 to 885 of the family's 1533-position model. The record is from RNAcentral.